CAAACACCUCGGUAGGUGAGGCGUCUGCAUGGACACAGGCCACUGACCCCGAACGUCGAGAGACGCCCCGGGUCAGGACAGCUCUUCCCGGCCUAAGGGUUGAGCCCAAGUGGCUUCCGGAUGAAACACCGGAUACGCCGUGCAGUGCCAAAGCUCCGACGAGAGGGGUGUUCG
This is a non-coding RNA of Mycobacterium angelicum, 174 nucleotides long. The record is from Rfam. NCBI's taxonomy places the organism in Bacteria, Bacillati, Actinomycetota, Actinomycetes, Mycobacteriales, Mycobacteriaceae.